This 235-nucleotide ribosomal RNA is filed under the name Gongylonema neoplasticum. RNAcentral's name for it is "partial large subunit ribosomal RNA". Lineage: Eukaryota; Metazoa; Nematoda; Chromadorea; Rhabditida; Gongylonematidae. The record is from RNAcentral.
UUUGGAAACUUUUUUUAAUUUUUGAUUUUUUUUCUAAUUAAUGUUUCUUGGGGCUGGGUUUUAUAAAAUAUUAUUUUCUAUUGUUAAUUUUAAAAGCUACUUCGGAGUUAACAGGAUUUUGGAUGUAUAAAAAGGGUUUUAUUUUAUUAUACUAAAUUACAUCGAUGUUGUAUAAUUUGUUGUUUGGGAAGAGAGAAUGUUUUUUUUUUUAAACUGUUCUUCUUUUAAAAUAAUA